RNAcentral lists this unclassified non-coding RNA (301 nucleotides) under Glomeraceae sp. RNAcentral's name for it is "partial contains 5.8S ribosomal RNA, internal transcribed spacer 2, and large subunit ribosomal RNA". The stretch from base 1 to 71 matches the Rfam family "5.8S ribosomal RNA", at positions 84 to 154 of the family's 154-position model. The record is from RNAcentral. Lineage: Eukaryota; Fungi; Glomeromycota; Glomeromycetes; Glomerales; Glomeraceae.
GUGAAUCAUCAAAUCUUUGAACGCAAAUUGCACUUUCUGGUAUUCCGGAAAGUAUGCCUGUUUGAGGGUCAGUUAAAUAAAAAUCGGUGUUGUUGCUGCCUUUCGUGGUGACGCGUCGGAGUUGAGUCGUCUUACCUUCGUUUACGAGACGUAAAAUUUUUGCAUGAUUUUCGAACGUAUGUAACUCGUUUACGUACGUUUGAUAUAUCGAAUGCUUAUUAGGUUCGGUCAUCCUCAUGACCCGCGCCUAUGAUUUUUUCAUUAUAUGACCUCAAAUCAGGUAAGAAUACCCUCUAAACUU